Long non-coding RNA from Erpetoichthys calabaricus (reedfish), 488 nucleotides. RefSeq lists it as uncharacterized. The transcript has 3 exons. The record is from RefSeq and is a predicted model, not a curated record. NCBI's taxonomy places the organism in Eukaryota, Metazoa, Chordata, Cladistia, Polypteriformes, Polypteridae.
GUAGUAUAUAAAUUAUUAAACAGUAAAACAUUAACAUUUAAGAAGUAAAGAUACAUUGAGCAGUACUGGAGUGCUUUCGGGUAAAGUACAUUUUAAAGGUGCAAUAACACAACAGAUAAGUAGCACUAACAGCAGCUUAAAUGUAUUUGGAUCAUCUCUCGGUAGCAGAUCCCUUGUGAAAGGUGCUACACGACCGCUGUGGUAUAAAAAUUAAAUUUUCUAUGUGAUCCUGCAAAUUUCUGCCUGACAACCUUGCACUACGUGCCUGUGAUUUAAGAGAAAAAAUAUUCUGAGAAAUGUGGACGCUGCCUUUCCGUGCUUAACGGGCAGAAGGUCCAAAACUUAACAUGAAGAGGUCGGUACAUCUUCUUAGAUGUAAACCUUCCAUCUUCUUAAAAGAAUUCAUCACAAAAGCAACCUUGGAUGUUGCAGGGUUUUAGUGACCCAAACUCACCUUAAGAGACAGUAAGUAGCCGUGCACCGCAAUU